UCCUUUGUCUCCAAAGCUUCUAGAACGUUCUCCCACUCCCAUCUCAUCACUUCUUCUCGUACAGUCGCGGUGAGCGCGAGUAAGUCCGAGCGAACCGUAUAAGAGUUACAGUGCGUACCCAUUAGUAUCGUAAUACGAAUUUUCAACGGUUUUCCGAGUAAAUCGCUACAUUGUAAGAAGGAAGGAAGCCUACCUCGAACCAUUCGAAUUACGAUUAGUUAUACAAAAGAAAAUUAUUGAAUUCAUGGCGAAAUGAAAAAAAUCAAAUGAUUUCGAGGACAUUUGACGACGAAGCCGGCGUUAUUGCCGACCGAAAUGAAAAUACACGACGACGGCGGCGCAACUUUUCUCAUUCAGCUGACUGAUGCCCGCUGAGUGGCUUCCUGGUGAGUGGAGAGCGCAUUGCAGUUCGCUGCCACGAUUGUCACCGUUGUCUGCAUGUAUAUUCGUGAAACUUUCCAAUUCGUACAGGACUCCAGCUCACCGUCACCGCGGCGAAUGCAUUUACCUGAAGAUUUCUGUUUAAUCUUCUUCUUUUUCCCCCAGAUGAUUGUAUCCUUUCCAGCAACGCACUGUUUACCGCAGUGCACUUCAUACGAGCUCGUUUCUCAUUACAUCCUCCCCACAGGGAUGGAGAGCCUGGCCUCUUCUAGGGUGUCAGGCGUGAACUUUUCAUAUAUUUUGACAGAUAUGUAGCCUGUUCGUUUAUAAAGUAACGAUAGUGAGAGGAUUGGAAAUUUUUGUUAGAUAUUACUAUGAAAAUAGUAGAAGUUAUAGGGGAAUUACAAACGUGUAGAUUUACAAAUUUGCAUCAAUGAAAUGAUUAUUAAUCAUAUUUUUGCUAGUUAUGUAGCCUAUAGUUCCUGUUUUACUAUAACGAACGAGUAAACAGUUUUAUCUGGAUUGGAUAAAAAUAGUAGGAGUUGUAGGGAAACCACAAACGUACAGAUGUAUAACAGAAGUUAAAGCAUAGCUUGGUAUAAUAUAGUAAAAAUUAUAGCAAAGUCACUAACACGUAGUCAUCGAAUUUUGUAUUAAUAAUGCUCUACUUUCUCGCUCCAAUUUUAUAUUAAUAAUGCUCUACUUUUUCUAAGUUAUACAUCGACAUUGAAAAUGCUGAUGAUAUCGAAAUGUGUUAUUGUUUAUAUAAAAUGUAUUCAGAUAGGGUUUAGAAUGAAUCCCUAAAUUUAAAUUUAAAUCUAUUGAAGGGUCCAUGAGGGUUUAAAAAUUGUUCCUAGCGUAUCCAUCGAACAGCUAACGCUGCAAACAAAUUUCCAUCUCAAACCAUUUAUAUUUUAUUAACCAACAAAGUGGUCUAAAGCCCCUAUUCAGGAACCCUAUACCAUGUACAACAGGAUUGUCUUCGAUAAUUCUAGUUAAUACUGCAGCAACCCUCAGCCUUCAGCCAGUGCAUCGAUUAGAAAUUGUUCCCAAUGUAUUCAUCGAACAGCCAACGCUACAAACAAAUUUCCGUCGCACACCAGUUAUGUUUUAUUAACAAACAAAGUCUUGAAACUCCCGUUGGAAAACCCUUUAGUAUACUACUGUGAUUAAAAAAUGGUAAGACUUAUUUAUCUUUUGUUUUUGUUAGGUUGGUAGCACUAAAAAGGUGAUUUCGGCGAUUAUCAGAAUGUGUGAAAUAAUUCAGCAAAGACUUUGUAUUAAAUUUUGCUACAAAAAUAGAAUUUUUUGUUUAAAAAAAAAAGGGGUCGUUGGAGACAAUACAUUGUCAAGAGCAAUUAUUCAGACAAGACCAAAUAUUUCAGGCAGACAUUAAAAAUCGACUUUCUCAGAAACGAAGAAACUUUUAUUCGAUAUUUUCGAUUACUUUUUUCGUAAAUAAUUUACACAAUCAGGUGAUUUGAUAACUGAGCAUCGUAGAACGAAGGAAAGCUCCAAUUACGGUGUUUAGUUUUAUCGUUUCGAUUCCCAUCGCUGGUAAACGGACAAAAGGGAUAUUCGCCGUAGUCACUCGAAGUGGAUUCAAUUAUAUCAACAAAGAAGUUUCCUUGGGUGGGCAUUCGCGAAAUUACCGUCGGGACUGUCGAGAAAUCGCAUUCAGUUUCGAGAGUUUGCGGAAACGAGCCGCGAGAAGUAGCGGCCCCGUCGAUCAAGGGCGAAACUUUACGACCGAUUCGAAUGCACGCUUGAGAAAAAGUUCUUGGACGAGUUUCGCGUGCCUCGAGCGCAUCGUGCGCGAAACGUUCGUGGCCGAGCGUUUAACACGCUGAAAAGCGCCUGCGGCACGAUGAAACACACCGCAUGCAUUAGUGAUCGUCGGAUAACGUUUCCAGUUUAGGGUUUGAAUAAUGUUCUUGGAAGUGUUAUCUUUUUUAGGAUUGAAAAUCUUUUUAUUUUCGAACAGCCGAAAUUCAUGUCACGUUAUGUGGUGAAAAAUGCUGCGAGGCCAUGAAAUGGGUGGGUAGUAACAGAAUAAAUAUGUUCUGUUACACAGCUUGUCGUGAGAUAUUUUUUUAUAUUUUAAUAUCUAGUGAUUGGAACAAUUAAAACUUAAUCCGAAAUAAUUAAACGUUUAUGAUACAUACAGUCAAUAUUUUAAUAUCUACUGAUUGCACCAACUAAAUAUUAAUUUCUGACAAUAGUUCAAUUAAUUAUUAACAAUACUUAUUAUUUAAACAAUAAUGGGAAAUAUGAUUAUGGUGUGGUAUUAAUGUUUCGUAAAUUCUUUUGUGGAUGGAUCC
Hylaeus volcanicus is the source of this 2702-nucleotide long non-coding RNA. RefSeq lists it as uncharacterized. The transcript has 3 exons. The record is from RefSeq and is a predicted model, not a curated record. Lineage: Eukaryota; Metazoa; Arthropoda; Insecta; Hymenoptera; Colletidae.